CAGUAGCCGCGGGAAUACAGAGGGUGCGAGCGUUAAUCGGAUUUACUGGGCGUAAAGCGUGCGUAGGCGGCUUCUUAAGUCGGAUGUGAAAUCCCUGAGCUUAACUUAGGAAUUGCAUUCGAUACUGGGAAGCUAGAGUAUGGGAGAGGAUGGUAGAAUUCCAGGUGUAGCGGUGAAAUGCGUAGAGAUCUGGAGGAAUACCGAUGGCGAAGGCAGCCAUCUGGCCUAAUACUGACGCUGAGGUACGAAAGCAUGGGGAGCAAACAGGAUUAGAUACCCCAGUAGUCCCUGUCUCUUAUAC
Molecule: ribosomal RNA, 301 nt
Filed under: uncultured bacterium
Lineage: Bacteria
Description: partial 16S ribosomal RNA
Rfam family: Bacterial small subunit ribosomal RNA
Source: RNAcentral